This is a long non-coding RNA of Coregonus clupeaformis (lake whitefish), 1495 nucleotides long. RefSeq lists it as uncharacterized. The transcript is spliced from 4 exons. Lineage: Eukaryota; Metazoa; Chordata; Actinopteri; Salmoniformes; Salmonidae. The record is from RefSeq and is a predicted model, not a curated record.
UUCAGGGGGUGCUGCAGCACGCCUACUACCCGUGGCUAUGAUUGCAUUUGUACCUUUCCAUAAAUGACACCCCAUUCACCAAAACCGUGGCCAAGGCACGUGCUUUGCAAAAGCUCAAAACUGUCAACAUCAGCCACAGGUUGGUAUUUAGCUAAACUAAAGCAAACUACAAACAAUGUUUCCUAAUCCUAGCCAAUCUGUACUACUUGGAUACUUCAAUAAACUAGCUAACGUUAACGGUUUUCCGAUUAUAUACUUUACUUGAUACUUAACGCUUAAAGUUACAUUAAAUUGUGCAUAGUAUUUCGUAAUCUAGCUACACAGCAGUUCUGACAUGCGCAAUAUUGAGGUUCUUUGGCCAAAGAUGGUCGUUUACCAUUUAAAAAUGGUCAGUUCCGGUCUGCUUAACGGGGUGGCUCUCCCAUAGACACCAAUGCAAUAGCAGCUGGGUCUAGUGUACUUAGUUCAUUGACUUUCAUUGAACCACAAAAAAACAGCGAGUGUUGUGUCUUGCUUCCUCUUCUGUCCAAAAUUAUUCCAUAGUUGUUCAUUUCCUCGAAAUCUAAGAUUCGAGACCAUGUCUUAAGUAGUUUAACAUGUUAUUACAACAACCUCAUGAAAGUGACAAACAGAUACGUUGUCAUUUUCGUCAAAAACAACUUUAUAUCGAAGGAGAGCCUUUGAGUUGACGGCUUGCACAUGCGCAGUUCGGUGCGAGAUGACCGUUGGACCCGAUGACGCAUGAGUUUAGCUAGCCAAUGCCGCCAUGACCUCGCCUACAGGUAUGAUAUAGGGGAUUUCGAUUAGAGAAGCAGUUUUAGCCUGUUUUAAUGCUGUUCUGUCUUUGAUUUGGUUUAUGACAGAAGGGAAGAGAUUGUAAACAUGGGGGACCACGUGACAUCUAACGGACAAGGAUUUAAAGCCACAGUAAAAAGCAUAUCGCCUAAAAACUUUGGUUUAAAAUAACAGGAGUAGCAGGAAUUUAUUGUAUAUCAUAACUGUCAAUGUUAACAUUAUACAUAUGGUGUUCGUUUGCACCCCUUUUCCAAAGUACUGUUUUUGCCUUAUUUCAGCAUGAUCUCUGUCUGUGACCAACUGCUUUGAAUAUCCCUCAAUGCACAAACGUGAGCUACUUGUUUCCAUAGAGACAGUGGUCGACCCAAGCUGCAGCAGAGAAGAGUGAUUCCACAUCAGUACCAUGUCUCAGUUCUCAACUGAGGAUGAGGCUGAACUAAGACAGAAUCUCAGAUAUGAAUUUGUUAAGUACCUUCGGCAGUAUGUGGAAAGCGCUCUGGGAGCAGUUAUUGAGGAGGAGACAGAGAGCUGUGCCAGAGGAGAGGGGCAUGCUGUUCUGUCCGGUCAGAACACCUUGGUUCAUGCUGUUACAAGGAGGACUAGAGAAUCUGGAGAGUAACAAUAAUGUAAAUGCCUGCGCCAAAGCCUGCGAUCUUAUCCUCCACAAAAUCGUCUGUAGCGUCCGAACAGUUUGGUUUAC